This 597-nucleotide ribosomal RNA is filed under the name Exiguobacterium mexicanum. Its description in RNAcentral is "bacterial SSU rRNA". It matches the Rfam family "Bacterial small subunit ribosomal RNA", at positions 157 to 748 of the family's 1533-position model. Lineage: Bacteria; Bacillati; Bacillota; Bacilli; Caryophanales. The record is from RNAcentral.
GGAGCGCUAAUACCGCAUACGUCCUACGGGAGAAAGCAGGGGACCUUUGGGCCUUGCGCUAAUAGAUGAGCCUAAGUCGGAUUAGCUAGUUGGUAGGGUAAAGGCCUACCAAGGCGACGAUCUGUAGCGGGUCUGAGAGGAUGAUCCGCCACACUGGGACUGAGACACGGCCCAGACUCCUACGGGAGGCAGCAGUGGGGAAUAUUGGACAAUGGGGGGAACCCUGAUCCAGCCAUGCCGCGUGAGUGAAGAAGGCCUUUUGGUUGUAAAGCACUUUAAGCGAGGAGGAGGCUACCUAGAUUAAUACUUUAGGAUAGUGGACGUUACUCGCAGAAUAAGCACCGGCUAACUCUGUGCCAGCAGCCGCGGUAAUACAGAGGGUGCGAGCGUUAAUCGGAUUUACUGGGCGUAAAGCGUGCGUAGGCGGCCAAUUCAGUCAAAUGCGAAAUCCCCAAGCUUAACUUGGGAAUUGCAUUCGAUACUGGUUGGCUAGAGUAUGGAAGAGGAUGGUAGAAUUCCAGGCGUACCGGCGAAAUGCGCAGAGAUCUGGAGGAAUACCGAUGGUAAAAGCAGCCAUCUGGCCUAAUACUGACGCUG